UACGUAGGGUGCAAGCGUUGUCCGGAAUUAUUGGGCGUAAAGAGCUCGUAGGCGGCUUGUCGCGUCGGCUGUGAAAACCUGGGGCUCAACCCCGGGCCUGCAGCCGAUACGGGCAAGCUAGAAUUCGGUAGGGGAGACUGGAAUUCCUGGUGUAGCGGUGAAAUGCGCAGAUAUCAGGAGGAACACCGGUGGCGAAGGCGGCUGACUGGACACAUAUUGACGCUGAGGCUCGAAAGCAUGGGGAGCAAACAGG
RNAcentral lists this ribosomal RNA (253 nucleotides) under uncultured bacterium. RNAcentral describes it as "partial 16S ribosomal RNA". It matches the Rfam family "Bacterial small subunit ribosomal RNA", at positions 524 to 776 of the family's 1533-position model. The record is from RNAcentral.